CAACUUUCAACAAUGGUCUCCUUUCAGCAAUGGAUCUCUUGGUUCUCGCAUCGAUGAAGCACGCAGCGAAUCGCGAUAAGUAAUGUGAAUUGCAGAUUUUCAGUGAAUCAUCGAAUCUUUGAACGCACCUUGCGCCCCUUGGUAUUCCGAGGGGCAUGCCUGUUUGAGUGUCAUU
This 175-nucleotide ribosomal RNA is filed under the name Leccinum palustre. RNAcentral describes it as "5.8S ribosomal RNA". The stretch from base 19 to 173 matches the Rfam family "5.8S ribosomal RNA". From Rfam's summary of the family: 5.8S ribosomal RNA (5.8S rRNA) is a component of the large subunit of the eukaryotic ribosome. It is transcribed by RNA polymerase I as part of the 45S precursor that also contains 18S and 28S rRNA. Lineage: Eukaryota; Fungi; Basidiomycota; Agaricomycetes; Boletales; Boletaceae. The record is from RNAcentral.